AGUGAACGCUGGCGGUAGGCCUAACACAUGCAAGUCGAACGGCAGCACAGUAAGAGCUUGCUCUUACGGGUGGCGAGUGGCGGACGGGUGAGGAAUACAUCGGAAUCUACUUUUUCGUGGGGGAUAACGUAGGGAAACUUACGCUAAUACCGCAUACGACCUACGGGUGAAAGCAGGGGAUCUUCGGACCUUGCGCGAUUGAAUGAGCCGAUGUCGGAUUAGCUAGUUGGCGGGGUAAAGGCCCACCAAGGCGACGAUCCGUAGCUGGUCUGAGAGGAUGAUCAGCCACACUGGAGCUGAGACACGGUCCAGACUCCGACGGGAGGCAGCAGUGGGAAUAUUGGACAAUGGGCGCAAGCCUGAUCCAGCCAUACCGCGUGGGUGAAGAAGGCCUUCGGGUUGUAAAGCCCUUUUGUUGGGAAAGAAAAGCAGCAGGUUAAUACCCCGCUGUUCUGACGGUACCCAAAGAAUAAGCACCGGCUAACUUCGUG
Molecule: ribosomal RNA, 491 nt
Filed under: uncultured bacterium
Lineage: Bacteria
Description: partial 16S ribosomal RNA
Rfam family: Bacterial small subunit ribosomal RNA
Source: RNAcentral